This 73-nucleotide transfer RNA is filed under the name Marmota monax (woodchuck). RNAcentral describes it as "tRNA.Ala". It matches the Rfam family "tRNA". Rfam says of the family: Transfer RNA (tRNA) molecules are approximately 80 nucleotides in length. Lineage: Eukaryota; Metazoa; Chordata; Mammalia; Rodentia; Sciuridae. The record is from RNAcentral.
UGUGGUUGUGGCUCAGUGGUAGAGCACUUGCCUAGCACAUGCUAGGUCCUGGGUUCAAUCCUCAGCACCACAA